AUGGCAAGAGGUCGGUUAAUGCUACAUCUAGUUUCUACUAGUACUUCUGCUUCAGGUGGUCCUCCUUCUUCUGCUAAGAAAAGGAAGAAUAACUACGGCAAACCGCAGAACAAACCCAAUAACUCAGGAAAAAGCUCAGGUAAGCCUUCUGGUGGUUUUAAGGGUUCCAAGAAACCUGGGUCUAGUACCUAGGUUCUUGCCCCCUCGUACGUUAUUGACAGCUUCCCCAGGGGAAAAUUUACAACAAGUUCCUCAAAAAUCAAUACCAGUAGGGGGGAGGUUAAGUUUUUUCCUAAAUCAGUGGAAGAAAAUUACCUCAGACUGUUAUGUGCUGUCAAUAAUUCGAGGGGGAUUAACACUUCAGUUCAAGAACCCACCUCCUCUGUCUGCAGUUCCAAUAAGUUUGUCUCAUACUCAAGACCCAGUAAAGUGUCAACUUCUAUCAGUAGAAGUGGACACAAUGUUACAAAAAGCUGCAAUAGAGGAGGUGUCGAUCUUAACUCUGUCUCCGGGAUUUUAUUCCCGUCUUUUUCUGGUUCCAAAGAAGACUGGAGGAAUGAGGCCGGUCAUAGACCUAUCUAUUCUGAACAAAUUUCUUAUUGUUCCCCACUUCAAAAUGGAAACAAACAGAUCCAUCAGGGCUUCAAUCCUUCCAGGAAUGUGGACUACUUCUCUGGAUCUUUCAGACGCGUAUUUCCACAUUCCCAUUUCCCAAACUUACAGGAAAUACCUUCGCUUCGUUUGGAACAACAAAGUUUUCCAGUUCAAGGCUCUCCCUUUUGGCCUGUCUACAGCCCCUUUGGCUUUUACCAAAAUCAUGCAGGCAGCUAUAGCUCACCUACAUUCCCUGUCUAUUCAGAUUCAUUCCUACCUGGACGAUUCCCUUCUCAAGGAAUUUUGCCCAAUCAAAUUGAGGGUUCAGACAGAUUUGGUCAUCAAUUGUUUUCUGUCCCUAGGUUUCCUUAUCUCUUGGAAAAAGUCAGAGAUAAUUCCGUCUCAAGACUUUGUUUUCCUGGGAGAACAUUUCCUAACCAGUGUAGGCCUAGUCCUCCCACCAGAGGAGAAAUUUACAAAACUAUGUCAGAAAAUACAUUUAUUCCUGACGGUUCAAUCAGUCACAGCACGUCAAUUCUUGCAACUUCUGGGUCUAUUGAACUCUCUGGCAGAUGUAAUUCCAUUGGGACGACUUCACAUUCGUCCGCUUCAGUUUUAUCUGCACAAGUUAUGGAUUGCAGCUUCACAAGAAUGGGAAGCAUUGAUUCCAAUCACUCAGCCUUUAUUUCCACACCUUCAAUGGUGGUUAGUACGGGAAAAUGUAAUGAGGGGCCUAUGUCUGUUCCCUCAAGUUCCCAGUCUAACAUUAUUCACAGAUGCCUCCACCCUCGGUUGGGGAGCAUAUCUGGAGGGGCUUACAAUCUCGGGAGUCUGGAGUCCAGAUCUUUUGGAAGAGCAUAUCAAUGUAUUGGAAAUGAAAGCAGUUCUGUUUGCACUGAAUCAUUUCCAAAUGUCUCUAAAGAAUCAGUCUGUCAUUCUGGCCACGGACAACACAACAGUUGUAGCUUAUCUCAAGAAUCAGGGAGGAACUCAUUCACCUUCUCUUUAUCAGAUAGCCAGAGACAUUCUCCUUCUGUGUUUUCAACUCCAGGUUCAUCUAGUGGUGAGACAUAUUGCGGGGCACCUCAAUAUUCUAGCCGACACUCUAUCCAGAUCCCUUGCUCCAGUAAACACGGAGUGGGAACUACUUCAAGUAGUUUUCAAAGCUGUGACUCUUCAUUGGGGGUCACCUCAGAUAGAUCUGUUUGCGACCAGUCUCAAUCACAAACUUCUAACAUUUGUGUCUCCGGUUCCGGAUCCAAAAUCUUUUGCGGUAGACGCAAUGAGCCUAUCUUGGAAAGGAAUGUUCGGGUACGCCUUCCCUCCUUUCAGGUUUCUCUCCCCAGUACUUCAGAAAAUAGCAGGGGAAAAUUGCAAGAUCAUAGUUAUUGCUCCAGCAUGGCCAAAACAGUCUUGGUUUCCAGACCUUCUGCGCCUUUCAUGUGCUUGUCCUCUAGUUCUACCUCUGAGACCAGACCUUCUGUCUCAAAUCAAGGGCAAGGUUCUUUAUCAAAAUCCAGAAAAACUUCAUCUACACGCCUGGCUUCUCUCAGGGUUAGCCUCAGAAAGAGAGGUUUUUCUGAAGGAGCAACCAAGCAUCUCACAAAGUCUGUCAGAGACUCCACUAGCAUUGUCUAUGAUGCAAAAUGGUCAAUCUUCUCAGAUUGGUGUAGUGAGCGGGAAAUUGAUCCUUUCCAAGUCACUGUACAACAAUUAGCAGACUUUCUAGUUUUUUCUUUUUGAAUCCAAAGGAUUAUGUCCCUCUACUAUUAAGGGAUAUAGAUCAGCUAUCUCAAGAACUAUUCAUAUUUCUGGUGGCCCAGAUUUUGGAAUCAAUGAGCAUAUUUCUCUUUUGGUUCGUAGUUUUAGUCUUGAAAGACCAAGACAAAAAACUUUAGUUCCUAAGUGGGACCUUGGACUAGUUUUAUCCUUUUUAAAACUUCCUCCUUUUGAACCAGCAGAAACAAUAGAUUUAAGGUUUCUUUCCUAUAAAUGCUGUUUUCUUUUAGCUUUGGCUUCUGGACGGAGAAGGAGUGAAAUCCAUGCCUUCUCUAUUUCUGAUGCUUGCCUUCGAUUUAACAGGGAUAAAUCUUCUGUUACUCUUUUAACGGAUCCUGCUUUUUUGGCAAAGAAUCAGAUUCCAGAUAAGGGUGCAGAACCAGUUGUGAUUCCUGCACUCCCUAGCGAUUCUAUUUCUGUACUUUUAUGUCCAGUAAGAAUCCUUUCUAUUUAUCUGGAAAGAACGUGUAGUUUACGUUCUGUUUCUAACUCAAGACUCUUUAUUCCUAUUAAAAAAGGAAUCUCAGAUCUUUCUGUUAAAACUAUUUCUACUUGGAUAUGCAAAUGCAUAUCUUUAGCUUAUGGUUCUUCUAAGGCAGAACUUUUAAAUAGUUUUAAUGUUAAAGCUCAUGAUGUUAGGGGUAUCUCUACAUCCUGGGCUCUGUUUAACAGUGCAUCUUUAGAAGAGGUACUGUCUGCAGGUUUCUGGAGAAAUGAGAACUCUUUUAUAUCUCACUACCUCCAAUCUAUGGCUACUUUUGCCGAGAGUUUAUACUCUCUUGGACCUAUAGUUUCAGCACAAAGAUUGAACUUUCCUCCUGUUUCUUCUGUUACAGGGGAUUCAGCUUUACGUUAG
RNAcentral lists this small RNA (3229 nucleotides) under Mytilus galloprovincialis (Mediterranean mussel). The record is from RNAcentral. Lineage: Eukaryota; Metazoa; Mollusca; Bivalvia; Mytilida; Mytilidae.